This 367-nucleotide long non-coding RNA is filed under the name Nicotiana benthamiana. RNAcentral's name for it is "long non-coding RNA (NBEN_LNC025544)". The record is from RNAcentral. Lineage: Eukaryota; Viridiplantae; Streptophyta; Magnoliopsida; Solanales; Solanaceae.
CCUAUAACCCAUGAUCUUCCACGGGCAGUUCCCAUAAAUGUUGAUAGGAUACCAGUGGCCUCUGUUGUUUCACAGGUGCCAUUAUCCCACAAGUUAACUUUACCAGUUGUUCAACCUAUUUCAGCCACAGAUAUAACCAAAAGACAUAAAUGUUGAUAGGAUACCAGUGGCCACUGUUGUUUCACAGGUGCCAUUAUCCCACAAAUUAACUUUACCAGUUGUUCAACCUAUUUCAGCCACAGAUAUAACCAAAAGAUUUUCUAAGCAUAGUUUAGAAUCAACUGUGUCUCCUACAUCUGUGAUAGCUUUUCAGGGGGUAGAUGAAGAUGAUUCUGCUAGCAAAGAAUUAGCUUUAGGCUCAGAGACU